CGGGCAGANUAGAGUGCGGUAGGGGAGAUNGGANNNNCUGGUGUAGCGGUGGAAUGCGCAGAUAUCAGGAGGAACACCGAUGGCGAAGGCAGAUCUCUGGGCCGUAACUNGACGCUGAGGANGCGAAAGCAUGGGGANGCAAANCAGGCUUAGAUACCCUGGUAGUCCAUGCCGUAAACGUUGGGAACUAGAUGUGGGGACCAUUCCNCGGUCUCCGUGUCGUAGCUAACGCAUUAAGUUCCCCGCCUGGGGAGUACGGCCGCAAGGCUAAAACUCAAAGGAAUUGACGGGGGCCCGCACAAGCGGCGGAGCAUGCGGAUUAAUUCGAUGCAACGCGAAGAACCUUACCAAGGCUUGACAUAUACGAGAACGCACUGGAGACAGUGAACUCUUUGGNCACUCGUAUACAGGUGGUGCAUGGUUGUCGUCAGCUCGUGUCGUGAGAUGUUGGGUUAAGUCCCGCAACGAGCGCAACCCUCGUCCUAUGUUGCCAGCACGUAAUGGUGGGAACUCAUGGGAUACUGCCGGGGUCAACUCGGAGGAAGGUGGGGAUGAGGUCAAAUCAUCAUGCCCCUUAUGUCUUGGGCUUCACGCAUGCUACAAUGGCCGGUACAAUGGGCUGCGAUACCGUAAGGUGGAGCGAAUCCCAAAAAGCCGGUCUCAGUUCGGAUUGAGGUCUGCAACUCGACCUCAUGAAGUCGGAGUCGCUAGUAAUCGUAGAUCAGCAACGCUACGGUGAAUACGUUCCCGGGCCUUGUACACACCGCCCNUCAANNCANGAAAGUCGGUAACACCCGAAG
Molecule: ribosomal RNA, 800 nt
Filed under: unidentified microorganism
Description: bacterial SSU rRNA
Rfam family: Bacterial small subunit ribosomal RNA
Source: RNAcentral